GCACCGGUAGCUUAGUUGGUAAAGCAAGGAGCUUUUAACUCCGAGAGCGAAGGUUCGAGUCCUUCUCGGUGCA
RNAcentral lists this transfer RNA (73 nucleotides) under Rossellomorea marisflavi. RNAcentral describes it as "tRNA-Lys". It matches the Rfam family "tRNA". From Rfam's summary of the family: Transfer RNA (tRNA) molecules are approximately 80 nucleotides in length. RNAcentral also lists the same sequence under 1 other name. Lineage: Bacteria; Bacillati; Bacillota; Bacilli; Caryophanales; Bacillaceae. The record is from RNAcentral.